Hyla sarda is the source of this 393-nucleotide non-coding RNA. Lineage: Eukaryota; Metazoa; Chordata; Amphibia; Anura; Hylidae. The record is from the annotation of a RefSeq genome assembly.
AUGAAGACUUUCCUGCUCCUCUUUAUAUCACUGGCCUGCUUGUCAGGUGUCCAGUCUCAGCAACUUGUCCAGUCAUCAGACCCAGUGGUGAUAAAGCCCGGGAAUUCCUAUAAAGCCUCAUGUACGGCUUCUGGAUUCACCUUCAGUAGCCACUGGAUGAACUGGGUCAGACAGAGUCCUAGUGGAGGAUUACAGUGGGUUGCUCGGAUUAGUAGCGAUGGAGGCAGCACAUGGUAUCAUGAUUCUGUUAAAGGACGAGUCACAAUCUCCAGAGAUAACAGUAAUAACCUGUUAUAUCUACAAAUGACCAACAUGAAGACUGAGGACUCUGCCGUGUAUUACUGUGCUAGGGACAUUGAUUCCGAAUCCUUUAAUCUGUGGGGAUCUGCAUAA